UACGUAGGGUGCGAGCGUUGUCCGGAAUUAUUGGGCGUAAAGAGCUCGUAGGCGGUGUGUCACGUCGGCCGUGAAAACCUGGGGCUUAACUCUGGGCGUGCGGUCGAUACGGGCAUCACUAGAGUUCGGCAGGGGAGACUGGAAUCCUGGUGUAGCGGUGAAAUGCGCAGAUAAUCAGGAGGAACACCGGUGGCGAAGGCGGUUCUCUGGGC
This 212-nucleotide ribosomal RNA is filed under the name uncultured bacterium. Its description in RNAcentral is "partial 16S ribosomal RNA". It matches the Rfam family "Bacterial small subunit ribosomal RNA", at positions 524 to 734 of the family's 1533-position model. The record is from RNAcentral.